This 468-nucleotide ribosomal RNA is filed under the name uncultured bacterium. RNAcentral describes it as "partial 16S ribosomal RNA". It matches the Rfam family "Bacterial small subunit ribosomal RNA", at positions 28 to 507 of the family's 1533-position model. The record is from RNAcentral.
GACGAACGCUGGCGGCGUGCUUAACACAUGCAAGUCGAACGGAAAGGCCCUUCUUUUGUGGGGUGCUCGAGUGGCGAACGGGUGAGUAACACGUGAGUAACCUGCCCUUGACUUUGGGAUAACUUCAGGAAACUGGGGCUAAUACCGGAUAGGAGCUCCUGCUGCAUGGUGGGGGUUGGAAAGUUUCGGCGGUUGGGGAUGGACUCGCGGCUUAUCAGCUUGUUGGUGGGGUAGUGGCUUACCAAGGCGUUGACGGGUAGCCGGCCUGAGAGGGUGACCGGCCACAUUGGGACUGAGAUACGGCCCAGACUCCUACGGGAGGCAGCAGUGGGGAAUAUUGCACAAUGGGCGGAAGCCUGAUGCAGCAACGCCGCGUGCGGGAUGACGGCCUUCGGGUUGUAAACCGCUUUCGCCUGUGACGAAGCGUGAGUGACGGUAACGGGUAAAGAAGCACCGGCUAACUACGUG